This 497-nucleotide ribosomal RNA is filed under the name uncultured bacterium. RNAcentral's name for it is "partial 16S ribosomal RNA". It matches the Rfam family "Bacterial small subunit ribosomal RNA", at positions 28 to 507 of the family's 1533-position model. The record is from RNAcentral.
GACGAACGCUGGCGGCGUGCCUAAUACAUGCAAGUUGAGCGCUGAAGGUUGGUACUUGUACCAACUGGAUGAGCAGCGAACGGGUGAGUAACGCGUGGGGAAUCUGCCUUUGAGCGGGGGACAACAUUUGGAAACGAAUGCUAAUACCGCAUAAAAACUUUAAACACAAGUUUUAAGAUUGAAAGAUGCAAUUGCAUCACUCAAAGUUGAUCCCGCGUUGUAUUAGCUAGUUGGUGAGGUAAAGGCUCACCAAGGCGAUGAUACAUAGCCGACCUGAGAGGGUGAUCGGCCACAUUGGGACUGAGACACGGCCCAAACUCCUACGGGAGGCAGCAGUAGGGAAUCUUCGGCAAUGGACGAAAGUCUGACCGAGCAACGCCGCGUGAGUGAAGAAGGUUGUCGGAUCGUAAAACUCUGUUGGUAGAGAAGAACGUUGGUGAGAGUGGAAAGCUCAUCAAGUGACGGUAACUACCCAGAAAGGGACGGCUAACUACGUG